This is a non-coding RNA of Cinara cedri, 409 nucleotides long. The record is from the annotation of a GenBank genome assembly. Lineage: Eukaryota; Metazoa; Arthropoda; Insecta; Hemiptera; Aphididae.
AAAUGUAUACGUGACAAAUAAGUAUAACAAUUGUUAUUACUUGAAAUUCCAAGUUAAAUGUAAUUUAUCAGUGCUAAUUUUUCCGAAAAUAAAAAAUGAACACAUAUUUAGUUUGUAUAUAACGUUAUUUAAUGGAAGUAUAAUAAUAUAAUAUUAUAAUAACUAAUAUAUUAUAUGAGUCAGCGUGUAUAGUAUUCGCUACAUUAGGUAUUUCGGUUUGGCAAUAUUGUUUACUAUAAUAAUUGUUCGAAGUGUUUAAAUGCACUUUAUGACAAUCAGGUUGCUGGAAUUUUGUUGGACAAUUAAAAAAAAUACGUUUACUGGUUAGCCAUUGGUAAUACACUGUUUAGUAAAGUAAGGCUAUCGGUUUCACAUCGACAAACGGAUUUAGCCCCAAUGGUUUUUUUUU